UAUAAGGGAUUUUGAGUUUUUGCUUGUAACGUUUGACCACUCGUCUUAUUCAAUUUUUUUUGAAAUUAUUGUUUAUUUUAUUUGUGACUUACUUUAUUAUCCACAGUACUUUAAGCACAACUUUUCGUUUUUAUAUUUGCAAAAAAAAUUUGAAUAAGACGAGUGAUCAAACGUUGCAAGCAAAAACUCAAAAUCCCNNNNNNN
Non-coding RNA from Oryza meridionalis, 204 nucleotides. NCBI's taxonomy places the organism in Eukaryota, Viridiplantae, Streptophyta, Magnoliopsida, Poales, Poaceae. The record is from Rfam.